Molecule: non-coding RNA, 401 nt
Organism: Drosophila melanogaster (fruit fly)
Lineage: Eukaryota; Metazoa; Arthropoda; Insecta; Diptera; Drosophilidae
Source: Ensembl
CACCGCAAGUCAGAGCCGUAAAUCAGUUGGCCAUAGUUUCACCCACAAAACCAGGUGACAGAUGAUAGGUGGAGGCGGCGCAGCGUCAUUGAGAGCGCCCAAAAUCACUUGAGAGCCAAAGCAGCUAAUUAAAAGCCCGACUCCAGCAACAACACAUGUUCCAACAUGUUGUAGCAAUCAAGUGAUUCCACAACAAUUACCCGAAUCUAUGCCCUGCGGCGAAGUCCGCCCGCUAGCCCUUGGGAUUGGGAGUGAGUUCGAAAGUAUGUAAGUUGUGUGGAACGAAGUGGUCCCCCCGACCAUAAUAAAUGCUUCAUCAUCUCUAACUCUGUGCGAUUGGAAGCUAGAAUAUGUAUGCGAUUACAUAUAUACCUUUUAAAUUCCUCUGGGUAGUUAUGUUU